GCACUUCGGAAUGUCCGAAAAUGCCAAAGAGGCAAAGAGUGCAUUGUAACGGACCUCGCCUGUCCCGUCUGUUGCAUCGGCUUUGGCGAUUUCGGGCCAUUAUGGAGGAGCCCUACCUACUGUUGCUUUAGCUAGACGCGCGAUGGCACCUCGUCAGCCUGAGGUGGCCCGUCAACUACAAGUGGCUGGGUGUUUGCCGCUCAAGUCGAGGAACCUGCUGCCGCUAAUGAUGUCUUGGCAGGUAUGGCUUAAUACAAGCAAGCAGGUAUUUCGGCGUAAUGCGGAAUAGAUGCAUUGCAGACAUUUCCAUGGUCAGUUGCUACUAAUUAUGCAUUAAUAUAGUAGGGACCAGUGGACGGGUAGUUGAGGGUACCCGGGCAUGCUUGCGUCAGAAAGUAUAGAGCCUACUUGAGCAGGAGAAGUGCUAGACGGUACUAGCAAAUUGCUAGUAGUAGUUCUUGGACGAGAAAUGAGACUCGUGGUGUAGAUGAAAUGGUAAAGCGACUCUUGAGGCAAAGUGAUCAGUGGAUUACGAGAGUUGAGCCAUGAUACUCGUGGAUACCCAAGUAGUCCGAGAAUUUCGGAUAUCGUUAUGGUAAAUUGAACAGUGAAAGUAGAAUCACUGUUGAGAGUGCGGUAGAUUAGUGGCCAAGUAUGAGCACCUGGGCCUAGUGGUACCUCAAGGUGACGUAGGCGGUUGUGCUCGUGCAGCCGGUGUGCAUAGGCAAAGAUUGCCUAAUGCUGGACUUCGUGUGGAACGCUGUAGAGGCGUUGAGCGCUCGAGUUUAGACGCUCGGGGAGUACAGAUUCUAUUCAGCCGGAGGAGUGAGAUGGCAGUAGCACUGUAGCGUUGCUAANN
Molecule: long non-coding RNA, 859 nt
Filed under: Ananas comosus (pineapple)
Lineage: Eukaryota; Viridiplantae; Streptophyta; Magnoliopsida; Poales; Bromeliaceae
Description: long non-coding RNA (ACOM_LNC031623)
Source: RNAcentral